Molecule: ribosomal RNA, 1379 nt
Filed under: uncultured organism
Description: bacterial SSU rRNA
Rfam family: Bacterial small subunit ribosomal RNA
Source: RNAcentral
CUUCGGGAGCCUAGUAGAGUGGCAAACGGGUGAGUAACGCGUGGGUAACGUACCCUGAUCCUGGGAAUAACCCUCGGAAACGAGGGCUAAUACCGAAUGUGGCGAACGACCGGUUGGUCGCUCGCUAAAGGUGGCCUCUUCUAUGCUGCCGGGUUGGGAUCGGCCCGCGUCCCAUUAGCUAGUUGGUGAGGUAACGGCUCACCAAGGCCACGAUGGGUAGCCGGCCUGAGAGGGUGUACGGCCACACUGGCACUGAGACAAGGGCCAGUCCCCUAUGGGAGGCGCAGGCGGGAAUAGUUCACAAUGGGCGAAAGCCUGAUGACGCGACGCCGCGUGAGCGAAGAAGACCUUCGGGUUGUAAAGCUCUGUCAGGAGGGAAGAAGGCUCUACGGGUUAAUAGCCCGUGGAAUCGACGGUACCUCCAGAGGAAGCCCCGGCUAAAUACGUGCCAGCAGCCGCGGUAAUACGUAUGGGGCAAGCGUUGUCCGGAUUUACUGGGCGUAAAGGGCGCGUAGGCGGUUUGUUAAGUCGAAGGUGAAAUCCUCGGGCUCAACUCGAGAAUUGCCUUCGAUACUGGCAAACUAGAGUGGCGGAGAGGAAAGCGGAACUCUUGGUGUAACGGUGGAAUGUGUAGAUAUCAAGAGGAACACCGGUGGCGAAGGCGGCUUUCUGGACGCACACUGACGCUCAGGCGCGAAAGCGUGGGUAGCAAACAGGAUUAGAUACCCUGGUAGUCCACGCCAUAAACGAUGGGUACUGGGUGUCGGGGGUAUCGACCCCUCCGGUGCCGCAGUUAACGCACUAAGUACCCCGCCUGGGGAUUAUGGUCGCAAGGCUGAAACUCAAAGGAAUUGACGGGGGCCCGCACCAGCGGUGGAACAUGUGGUUUAAUUCGAUGCAACGCGAAGAACCUUACCUGGGCUUGACAUAUAUAUGAAGUAUGUAAGAAAUUAUGUAUUCUGUCUGCUUUUGCAGGUAGCAUAUAUACAGGUGAUGCAUGGCUGUCGUCAGCUCGUGUCGUGAGAUGUAGGGUUAAGUCCCUUAACGAGCGCAACCCUUGCUUUUAGUUGCCAUCAGGUAAUGCUGGGGACUCUAGAAGGACUGCCGAGGUUAACUCGGAGGAAGGUGGGGAUGACGUCAAGUCAGUAUGUCCCUUAUGUCCAGGGCUACACACGUGUUACAAUGGACGGUACAGAGUGCAGCUACGCCGUGAGGCUACGCAAAUCACUUAAAGCCGUUCCCAGUUCGGAUUGGAGUCUGCAAUUCGACUCCAUGAAGUUGGAAUCGCUAGUAAUCGCAGAACAGCAUGCUGCGGUGAUACGUUCCCGGGCCUUGUACACACCGCCCGUCACGCCAUGGAAGUUGGGAGUACCCAAAGU